UUACCGGUACUAAAGUUCCGAUACUUUAAAAAUCCUCAAUUGACUGCAAUUUACAGAGCAGCAGUUCGCAACCUCCGUGAAAAAUGAGUAUUGGAAACGUCUUGAAUAUUAUUGCAUUCAUGAUGUUUGCAGCGACGACAAUUCCAGACGCAAAAUUGAAGUGUAACCCAAUGAUUUGUCUUUCUGAAUCUAAGCCAUAACUAUCUUGCUAAAUAAUUAAACAAUAUCUCUCUUGAAA
Molecule: long non-coding RNA, 238 nt
Organism: Drosophila biarmipes
Lineage: Eukaryota; Metazoa; Arthropoda; Insecta; Diptera; Drosophilidae
Exons: 2
Source: RefSeq, a predicted model, not a curated record